AGUUUUAUAGUCAAUAUAAUUUAUGAUAUUAAAUUGCAAAUUUAAAGUAGUUUUAUACUAAAACUU
RNAcentral lists this transfer RNA (66 nucleotides) under Wormaldia unispina. RNAcentral's name for it is "tRNA-Cys". The record is from RNAcentral. Lineage: Eukaryota; Metazoa; Arthropoda; Insecta; Trichoptera; Philopotamidae. RNAcentral also lists the same sequence under 1 other name.